Molecule: non-coding RNA, 73 nt
Organism: Yarrowia lipolytica
Lineage: Eukaryota; Fungi; Ascomycota; Dipodascomycetes; Dipodascales
Source: Rfam
UGAGUUGUAGAUUAAUUGGCAAAUCACUUAAAUUUGAGUUAAGACUAUGAAAGUUCGAAUCUUUCCAAUUCAU